This 412-nucleotide ribosomal RNA is filed under the name uncultured bacterium. Its description in RNAcentral is "bacterial SSU rRNA". It matches the Rfam family "Bacterial small subunit ribosomal RNA", at positions 505 to 918 of the family's 1533-position model. The record is from RNAcentral.
GUGCCAGCAGCGGCGGUAAUACGUAGGGGGCAAGCGUUGUCCGGAUUUACUGGGUGUAAAGGGUGCUCAGGUGGAUUUGUUAGUCGGAGGUGAAACUCCGGAGCUUAACUCCGGAACUGCCUCCGAAACAGCAAGUCUUGAGUUUGGUAGAGGAUGAUGGAAUAUCUGGUGUAGCAGUGAAAUGCGUAGAUAUCAGAUAGAACACCAAUGGCGAAGGCAGUCAUCUGGGCCAUAACUGACACUAAAGCACGAAAGCGUGGGGAUCAAACAGGAUUAGAUACCCUGGUAGUCCACGCCCUAAACGAUGAGUACUAGAUGUUGGUCCCAUAGGGGUCAGUAUCCAAGCUAACGCAUUAAGUACUCCACCUGGGAAGUACGAUCGCAAGGUUGAAACUUAAAGGAAUUGACGGGG